Molecule: non-coding RNA, 54 nt
Organism: Danio rerio (zebrafish)
Lineage: Eukaryota; Metazoa; Chordata; Actinopteri; Cypriniformes; Danionidae
Source: Rfam
CUUGUCCUCAUUUCUAAGUCGCUUUGGAUAAAAGCGUCUGCUAAAUGACUAAAU